This 464-nucleotide ribosomal RNA is filed under the name Vreelandella stevensii. RNAcentral's name for it is "partial 16S ribosomal RNA". It matches the Rfam family "Bacterial small subunit ribosomal RNA", at positions 338 to 795 of the family's 1533-position model. Lineage: Bacteria; Pseudomonadati; Pseudomonadota; Gammaproteobacteria; Oceanospirillales; Halomonadaceae. The record is from RNAcentral.
CCUACGGGGAGCAGCAGUGGGGAAUAUUGGACAAUGGGCGAAAGCCUGAUCCAGCCAUGCCGCGUGUGUGAAGAAGGCCUUCGGGUUGUAAAGCACUUUCAGUGGGGAAGAAAGCCUUGGGGCUAAUACCCUCGAGGAAGGACAUCACCCACAGAAGAAGCACCGGCUAACUCCGUGCCAGCAGCCGCGGUAAUACGGAGGGUGCGAGCGUUAAUCGGAAUUACUGGGCGUAAAGCGCGCGUAGGCGGUCUGAUAAGCCGGUUGUGAAAGCCCCGGGCUCAACCUGGGAACGGCAUCCGGAACUGUCAGGCUAGAGUGCAGGAGAGGAAGGUAGAAUUCCCGGUGUAGCGGUGAAAUGCGUAGAGAUCGGGAGGAAUACCAGUGGCGAAGGCGGCCUUCUGGACUGACACUGACGCUGAGGUGCGAAAGCGUGGGUAGCAAACAGGAUUAGAUACCCUGUAGUC